This 197-nucleotide ribosomal RNA is filed under the name uncultured prokaryote. Its description in RNAcentral is "partial 16S ribosomal RNA". The record is from RNAcentral.
UUUCUCGCCAAAUGACGACUUCUACCACAUCUAUUGACAUUAUGGGUCUGCAAGCUGCUUAUGCUAAUUUGCAUACUGACCAAGAACGUGAUUACUUCAUGCAGCGUUACCAUGAUGUUAUUUCUUCAUUUGGAGGUAAAACCUCUUAUGACGCUGACAACCGUCCUUUACUUGUCAUGCGCUCUAAUCUCUGGGCA